CAACGCCGGAAAUCUUACCGGGACCGACAGCAAUAUGAAGGCCAGGCUGAAGACUUUGCCGGAUUAGCUGAGAGGUGGUGCAUGGCCGUCGUCAGUUCGUACUGUGAAGCAUCCUGUUAAGUCAGGCAACGAGCGAGACCCACGCCCACAGUUGCCAGCGUACUCUCUGGAGUGACGGGUACACUGUGGGACCGCCGCUGCUAAAGCGGAGGAAGGAAUGGGCAACGGUAGGUCAGUAUGCCCCGAAUAUCCCGGGCUACACGCGAGCUACAAUGGUUGGUACAAUGGGUAUCUACCCCGAAAGGGGACGGGAAUCUCCUAAAACCAAUCUUAGUUCGGAUUGAGGGCUGCAACUCGCCCUCAUGAAGCUGGAAUCCGUAGUAAUCGCGUUUCAACAGAACGCGGUGAAUACGUCCCUGCUCCUU
RNAcentral lists this ribosomal RNA (425 nucleotides) under uncultured Methanosaeta sp. Its description in RNAcentral is "bacterial SSU rRNA". It matches the Rfam family "Archaeal small subunit ribosomal RNA", at positions 913 to 1338 of the family's 1478-position model. The record is from RNAcentral. Lineage: Archaea; Methanobacteriati; Methanobacteriota; Methanomicrobia; Methanotrichales; Methanotrichaceae.